RNAcentral lists this ribosomal RNA (253 nucleotides) under uncultured bacterium. Its description in RNAcentral is "partial 16S ribosomal RNA". It matches the Rfam family "Bacterial small subunit ribosomal RNA", at positions 524 to 776 of the family's 1533-position model. The record is from RNAcentral.
UACGUAGGGUGCGAGCGUUGUCCGGAUUUACUGGGCGUAAAGAGCGUGUAGGCGGCCAAACAGGUCCGUUGUGAAAACUGGAGGCUCAACCUCCAGACGUCGACGGAAACCGUGUGGCUAGAGUCCGGAAGAGGAGAGUGGAAUUCCUGGUGUAGCGGUGAAAUGCGCAGAUAUCAGGAAGAACACCAAUGGCGAAGGCAGCUCUCUGGGACGGUACUGACGCUGAGACGCGAAAGCGUGGGGAGCGAACAGG